RNAcentral lists this ribosomal RNA (483 nucleotides) under uncultured bacterium. RNAcentral's name for it is "bacterial SSU rRNA". It matches the Rfam family "Bacterial small subunit ribosomal RNA", at positions 29 to 507 of the family's 1533-position model. The record is from RNAcentral.
AUGAACGCUAGCGGCAGGCCUAAUACAUGCAAGUCGAGGGGUAACGAUAGACGCUUCGGUGUUGAUGACGACCGGCGCACGGGUGCGUAACGCGUAUGCAAUCUACCUACAGCAGAGGGAUAGCCCGUGGAAACAUGGAUUAAUACCUCAUAAUACAGGGGGCCCACCUGGGCAUAUUGUUAAAGAUUUAUCGGCUGUAGAUGAGCAUGCGUCCCAUUAGCUAGUUGGUACGGUAACGGCGUACCAAGGCGAUGAUGGGUAGGGGUUCUGAGAGGAUGAUCCCCACACUGGUACUGAGAUACGGACCAGACUCCUACGGGAGGCAGCAGUAGGGAAUAUUGGUCAAUGGACGAAAGUCUGAACCAGCCAUGCCGCGUGCAGGAAGACGGCCUUCUGGGUUGUAAACUGCUUUUCUCAGGGAAGAAAAAGGUCUUGCGAGACAAAUUGCCGGUACCUGAGGAAUAAGCACCGGCUAACUCCGUG